AGCUUAUCUAGAUGGCCACACCCGUUCCCUUUCCGAACACGGCCGUUAAGCAUCUAGAGCCGAUGGUAGUCUGUUAAGGGCGAGAGUAGGUUAUUGCCGGGU
Molecule: ribosomal RNA, 102 nt
Filed under: Planctomycetota bacterium
Lineage: Bacteria; Pseudomonadati; Planctomycetota
Source: RNAcentral